Molecule: RNA transcript, 1871 nt
Organism: Andrographis paniculata
Lineage: Eukaryota; Viridiplantae; Streptophyta; Magnoliopsida; Lamiales; Acanthaceae
Gene name: ADP,ATP carrier protein ER-ANT1
Exons: 7
Source: RefSeq, a predicted model, not a curated record
UACACAUAUGUUUAUCAAAAUAUGAAAUUUUAUUCAAUACAAGAGCGGCAAAGAAGAGAGAAUAUACCUUUAACCUUCAUCCCUUGGCGCCCCAAAUUCCUGGAGGAAUGGUUGGGGAAAGGGAGGGAGGGCCUGUGAUGGCAAAGCCAUCUGAAAAGUUUUCCUUAGAUUUCUUCAUGGGAGGGUCUGCAGCUGUCGUAGCAAAAAGUGCCGCAGCUCCAAUUGAAAGGGUUAAGCUUUUGUUGCAGAAUCAAGGAGAAUUAUUGAAGAGGGGACAGCUUCAAAAGCCUUAUGUUGGGGUUGGUGAUUGCUUCCAGAGGCUCUUCCGGGAGGAGGGCAUUUACUCAUUUUGGAGGGGCAACCAGGCCAAUGUCAUUAGAUAUUUUCCUACUCAGGCUUUUAAUUUUGCGUUUAAGGGCUACUUUAAAAGUCUCUUUGGUUGUUCAAGAGAGAGAGAUGGAUACAUCAAGUGGUUUGCCGGGAAUGUGGCUUCGGGAAGUGCUGCAGGGGCUACUACUUCUUUGUUUCUUUAUCACCUAGAUUAUGCACGGACUCGUUUGGGCACGGAUGCUAGGAUAUGCCCUAUCAAUGGAAAGCGGCAAUUCAAUGGACUAGUAGAUGUAUACUGUAAAACCUUGUCUACAGAUGGAAUCCCAGGUCUCUAUCGGGGGUUUGGGGUUUCAAUAUUGGGAAUUACACUUUACCGAGGAAUGUAUUUUGGGAUCUAUGACACAUUGAAGCCUAUUGUUUUGGUUGGUCAAUUACAGGACAAUUUCUUCGCUAGCUUUUUCUUGGGUUGGAGUGUGACCACUGUUUCUGGGGUCUGUGCCUACCCUUUUGACACCCUACGACGAAGAAUGAUGCUGACCUCCGGACAACCAGUGAAGUACAGCAGUGCCAUGCACGCCUUUCACCAGAUUAUUCAUGCUGAAGGUUUUACAGCUCUGUUCAGAGGAGUAACAGCUAACAUGCUUCUUGGUGUGGCUGGGGCUGGAGUACUUGCGGGAUAUGACCAGCUGUGCAGAAUUGUAUAUAGACCUCAAUAUAGCUUUAACUCUCAGAAAGCAUUCAAAUGAAUCUGCGGAUUUGCAUCAUUUCUCAUUGUUGAAUGGUGAAGUGCGACAAACCAUCAUGAAAAACCUGAUUAAGGUCUUUUCCUUCAUUGCUGGACCAUGGAAGGGAGAUCGAAGAUGUAACCUCUGACCAGAUAAUACUAUACCUACUCUGUUUGAAGUUCUGAAGAUCUCACGCUUUAAACAGAUCAUGGCUUAUGAAGACGCAAAAUUGAACGUGAUAUAAGUGUGAGACAGCGCCCAGUCGAGAGCCCCUUUGGCCUCAGCGCUCGAAUCCACCACGACCAUGACUCUGUUCCCGGAUUCUGGUAAUAAUUCAUUUCUUGAAGUGAAUUCGUUCGAAAUCCUAGAAUUAUCUCCUGUCUUAAUAAAACUUGCUGUCUUCUUGCGGUGCUGUAUUGGCGAACGGAUAUACGUAUGGACACGGGCGCAGAUUCGCGUCGCGGCAGCUCGGCUCAUUCGCAGUCCCGUCAUUGUUCUUAACUUCAUCUUCAAGGUAACGCUUCUAAAAAAUCUGUAUGUCUUUGUGCUCUGUGUGAAACUUGUCUGUCUAUACAUGUGUAUGUAUAUAUGUGUAUAUAUAUGUGUGUGUCUGUUUUUAAGGUAAUUAGAGAUGUUAGUAGAGGAAGUGUAGUGUUAGAAAGUUGGUUUUUGAUUGUGUCAAUGAACGUGCAUACCUCUCUGAAUUAUUAGGCUGGUUGUUGAAAUUAUUCUAAUGUCUUCAUUUGUGCCUUGUCAUCAUGGAAAUUGACCUUAGAAAUACUAUUUAUUGUUUUAAUUAAAUGUAUUUUUGUGGCA